This 253-nucleotide ribosomal RNA is filed under the name uncultured bacterium. RNAcentral's name for it is "partial 16S ribosomal RNA". It matches the Rfam family "Bacterial small subunit ribosomal RNA", at positions 524 to 776 of the family's 1533-position model. The record is from RNAcentral.
UACGGAGGGUGCAAGCGUUAUCCGGAUUUACUGGGUUUAAAGGGUGCGUAGGUGGGUAAGUAAGUCAGUGGUGAAAUCUUCGAGCUUAACUCGGAAACUGCCAUUGAUACUAUUUAUCUUGAAUACUUUGGAGGUAAGCGGAAUAUGUCAUGUAGCGGUGAAAUGCUUAGAUAUGACAUAGAACACCAAUUGCGAAGGCAGCUGGCUAGACCUGGAUUGACGCUGAGGCACGAAAGCGUGGGGAGCGAACAGG